UUAAGCGACUAAGCGUACACGGUGGAUGCCCUGGCAGUCAGAGGCGAUGAAGGACGUGCUAAUCUGCGAAAAGCGUCGGUAAGGUGAUAUGAACCGUUACAGCCGGCGAUGUCCGAAUGGGGAAACCCAGUGCAAUUCGUUGCACUAUCGUUAACUGAAUACAUAGGUUAACGAGGCGAACCGGGGGAACUGAAACAUCUAAGUACCCCGAGGAAAAGAAAUCAACCGAGAUUCCCCCAGUAGCGGCGAGCGAACGGGGAGCAGCCCAGAGUCUGAAUCAGCUUGUGUGUUAGUGGAACGGUCUGGAAAGUCCGACGGUACAGGGUGAUAGUCCCGUACACCAAAAUGCACAGGUUGUGAACUCGAAGAGUAGGGCGGGACACGUGGUAUCCUGUCUGAAUAUGGGGGGACCAUCCUCCAAGGCUAAAUACUCCUGACUGACCGAUAGUGAACCAGUACCGUGAGGGAAAGGCGAAAAGAACCCCGGCGAGGGGAGUGAAAAAGAACCUGAAACCGUGUACGUACAAGCAGUGGGAGCACCUUCGGGUGUGACUGCGUACCUUUUGUAUAAUGGGUCAGCGACUUAUAUUCUGUAGCAAGGUUAACCGUAUAGGGGAGCCGCAGGGAAACCGAGUCUUAACUGGGCGUUAAGUUGCAGGGUAUAGACCCGAAACCCGGUGAUCUAGCCAUGGGCAGGUUGAAGGUUGGGUAACACUAACUGGAGGACCGAACCGACUAAUGUUGAAAAAUUAGCGGAUGACUUGUGGCUGGGGGUGAAAGGCCAAUCAAACCGGGAGAUAGCUGGUUCUCCCCGAAAGCUAUUUAGGUAGCGCCUCGUGAACUCAUCUUCGGGGGUAGAGCACUGUUUCGGCUAGGGGGUCAUCCCGACUUACCAACCCGAUGCAAACUACGAAUACCGAAGAAUGUUAUCACGGGAGACACACGGCGGGUGCUAACGUCCGUCGUGAAGAGGGAAACAACCCAGACCGCCAGCUAAGGUCCCAAAGUCAUGGUUAAGUGGGAAACGAUGUGGGAAGGCACAGACAGCCAGGAUGUUGGCUUAGAAGCAGCCAUCAUUUAAAGAAAGCGUAAUAGCUCACUGGUCGAGUCGGCCUGCGCGGAAGAUGUAACGGGGCUAAACCAUGCACCGAAGCUGCGGCAGCGACACUUAUGUGUUGUUGGGUAGGGGAGCGUUCUGUAAGCCUGCGAAGGUGGCCUGUGAGGGCUGCUGGAGGUAUCAGAAGUGCGAAUGCUGACAUAAGUAACGAUAAAGCGGGUGAAAAGCCCGCUCGCCGGAAGACCAAGGGUUCCUGUCCAACGUUAAUCGGGGCAGGGUGAGUCGACCCCUAAGGCGAGGCCGAAAGGCGUAGUCGAUGGGAAACAGGUUAAUAUUCCUGUACUUGGUGUUACUGCGAAGGGGGGACGGAGAAGGCUAUGUUAGCCGGGCGACGGUUGUCCCGGUUUAAGCAUGUAGGCGGAGGUUCCAGGUAAAUCCGGUACCUUUUAACGCUGAGGUGUGAUGACGAGGCACUACGGUGCUGAAGUAACAAAUGCCCUGCUUCCAGGAAAAGCCUCUAAGCAUCAGGUAACAUUAAAUCGUACCCCAAACCGACACAGGUGGUCAGGUAGAGAAUACCAAGGCGCUUGAGAGAACUCGGGUGAAGGAACUAGGCAAAAUGGUGCCGUAACUUCGGGAGAAGGCACGCUGGUGUGUAGGUGAAGUCCCUGCGGAUGGAGCUGAGACCAGUCGAAGAUACCAGCUGGCUGCAACUGUUUAUUAAAAACACAGCACUGUGCAAACACGAAAGUGGACGUAUACGGUGUGACGCCUGCCCGGUGCCGGAAGGUUAAUUGAUGGGGUUAUCCGUAAGGAGAAGCUCUUGAUCGAAGCCCCGGUAAACGGCGGCCGUAACUAUAACGGUCCUAAGGUAGCGAAAUUCCUUGUCGGGUAAGUUCCGACCUGCACGAAUGGCGUAAUGAUGGCCAGGCUGUCUCCACCCGAGACUCAGUGAAAUUGAACUCGCUGUGAAGAUGCAGUGUACCCGCGGCAAGACGGAAAGACCCCGUGAACCUUUACUAUAGCUUGACACUGAACAUUGAGCCUUGAUGUGUAGGAUAGGUGGGAGGCUUUGAAGCGUGGACGCCAGUCUGCGUGGAGCCAACCUUGAAAUACCACCCUUUAAUGUUUGAUGUUCUAACGUUGGCCCCUAAUCGGGGUUGCGGACAGUGUCUGGUGGGUAGUUUGACUGGGGCGGUCUCCUCCCAAAGAGUAACGGAGGAGCACGAAGGUUAGCUAAUCCUGGUCGGACAUCAGGAGGUUAGUGCAAUGGCAUAAGCUAGCUUGACUGCGAGCGUGACGGCGCGAGCAGGUGCGAAAGCAGGUCAUAGUGAUCCGGUGGUUCUGAAUGGAAGGGCCAUCGCUCAACGGAUAAAAGGUACUCCGGGGAUAACAGGCUGAUACCGCCCAAGAGUUCAUAUCGACGGCGGUGUUUGGCACCUCGAUGUCGGCUCAUCACAUCCUGGGGCUGAAGUAGGUCCCAAGGGUAUGGCUGUUCGCCAUUUAAAGUGGUACGCGAGCUGGGUUUAGAACGUCGUGAGACAGUUCGGUCCCUAUCUGCCGUGGGCGCUGGAGAAUUGAGGGGGGCUGCUCCUAGUACGAGAGGACCGGAGUGGACGCAUCACUGGUGUUCGGGUUGUCAUGCCAAUGGCACUGCCCGGUAGCUAAAUGCGGAAGAGAUAAGUGCUGAAAGCAUCUAAGCACGAAACUUGCCCCGAGAUGAGUUCUCCCUGAGACUUUAAGUCUCCUGAAGGAACGUUGAAGACGACGACGUUGAUAGGCCGGGUGUGUAAGCGCAGCGAUGCGUUGAGCUAACCGGUACUAAUGAACCGUGAGGCUUAACCU
Molecule: ribosomal RNA, 2902 nt
Filed under: Klebsiella variicola
Lineage: Bacteria; Pseudomonadati; Pseudomonadota; Gammaproteobacteria; Enterobacterales; Enterobacteriaceae
Description: 23S ribosomal RNA
Rfam family: Bacterial large subunit ribosomal RNA
Source: RNAcentral